This 253-nucleotide ribosomal RNA is filed under the name uncultured bacterium. Its description in RNAcentral is "partial 16S ribosomal RNA". It matches the Rfam family "Bacterial small subunit ribosomal RNA", at positions 524 to 776 of the family's 1533-position model. The record is from RNAcentral.
UACGUAGGGUGCAAGCGUUAAUCGGAAUUACUGGGCGUAAAGCGUGCGCAGGCGGUUAUGUAAGACAGGUGUGAAAUCCCCGGGCUUAACCUGGGAACUGCAUUUGUGACUGCAUAGCUAGAGUACGGUAGAGGGGGAUGGAAUUCCGCGUGUAGCAGUGAAAUGCAUAGAUAUGCGGAGGAACACCGAUGGCGAAGGCAAUCCCCUGGACCUGUACUGACGCUCAUGCACGAAAGCGUGGGGAGCAAACAGG